Molecule: ribosomal RNA, 552 nt
Filed under: Amanita aff. princeps HKAS 59780
Lineage: Eukaryota; Fungi; Basidiomycota; Agaricomycetes; Agaricales; Amanitaceae
Description: eukaryotic LSU rRNA
Rfam family: 5.8S ribosomal RNA (bases 183-329)
Source: RNAcentral
UUUGGCAGGUAGCUGUUGCUGGCUCCUUUGAGAGGGCACUGUGCACGUCAUCUUGCUUGUUUCCUUCUCUAUUACCUGUGCACUAUGUUGUAGACCUUUCGUGUCUAUGUAUUCUUUACCAUAACUACAAUGUUAAGAAUGUAUUCAUACAAGGUGCCUUUUUGUGCCUUAUAAAAAUAUACAACUUUCAACAAUGGAUCUCUUGGUUCUUGCAUCGAUGAAGAACGCAGCGAAAUGCGAUAAGUAAUGUGAAUUGCAGAAUUCAGUGAAUCAUCGAAUCUUUGAACGCAUCUUGCGCUCCCUCAAGGAGCAUGCCUGUUUGAGUGUCACUAAAUAUCUCAAAAUGCCUUACUUUUUCUUGUAAAGUGUUUUGGAUUUGGGAGUGAUUGCUGGCUUGUCAGCUCUCCUUAAAAGCAUUUUGGCUGUUCUCUGUUAACUGGUAAUGAUAAUUAUCUAUGCCUGUUAAAAGGGAAGGUGUUAAGCCUCUAAUGGUCCUGUGAUCAGGACAGUACAUUCAAUGUUGACCUCAAAUCAGGUAGGAUUACCCGCUGA